Long non-coding RNA from Eptesicus fuscus (big brown bat), 417 nucleotides. RefSeq lists it as uncharacterized. NCBI's taxonomy places the organism in Eukaryota, Metazoa, Chordata, Mammalia, Chiroptera, Vespertilionidae. The transcript has 4 exons. The record is from RefSeq and is a predicted model, not a curated record.
UCCCAUAAGGGGAGCACCGCUCAGCCAGAAGCCGGGUUCAUGGCUGGUGAGCACAGCGGUGGUGGCAGGAGCCUCUCCUGCCUCCAUGGCAGCGCUAAGGAGCAACAAGCUGAGCAGUAAGGAGCAGCAAGCCGAGAGGUUCACCAAUACAUCUGCAGCAAUGUUCCAAUGGCAGACAAAACUAAUUUGCAAACAAACUGUGAAUCACUAGCAGGGCUAAGAAAUAUUUCUAGGAAUCAUCUCAUUCACACAGAAAUGAGAGUAGUGUCUAUUCAGAUGCAAAGAGGAAAGUCGUGGUAGCUAUACAUUUCCUGCAUGAGUUAGCUGUGUUAAAGCUCUUCAAAACAGAGGUUCAAUUCCAGUCAAGAGCACAUGACCAGGUUGCUGGCUUGAUCCCCAGUGUGGGUCGUGCAGGAG